This is a long non-coding RNA of Phasianus colchicus (ring-necked pheasant), 3536 nucleotides long. RefSeq lists it as uncharacterized. NCBI's taxonomy places the organism in Eukaryota, Metazoa, Chordata, Aves, Galliformes, Phasianidae. The record is from RefSeq and is a predicted model, not a curated record.
UGGAACUGGAUGAGCAUUGUGCUCCUUUUCAACCCAGGCCAUUCUGUGAUUCUAUGAUGCGACCUGAUGGCUGUGAUUCUGAGAAUUCAAAGUGUUACUGCUGAACUCAGGAUGCAGCUACACCUGGAGACCCAGGAACAUUUCCCUACUAAUGCUUCUGAACAAACAUUCUCACUCCAAAAAGGGAUAACAGGGACAUUGAAUUUUCUUCCGCACUUUGGUGCUUUCUACACCUUAUUAUUUUUUUGUCCAGAUACGCUGACUAACAGCUAUUAUGCCUCGCUGCACUACUGAAGGAUGCCUAGAGCCACGUUCUUCAUAGGGAAAGCAAAAAUGUCCACAUUUUAAAAAUGACAGGCUGACAUACUGGAGCCCUGGAGCGUGCCUGUGCCUGCACAGAUGGAAGAAGAAGAACACAGUCCUGCAUUGCACAGCUCGUGAUAGAGCUCCCUGUACAAAGCUUUCUUCUGUGAGAAGUUGGAGUUGGCAGCACCUCAUCCUUAUUGUCCUCAGAAUAGAAACUCAAGGGGGAAAUAGGAGAGGCAAACCAAAGAGGAUGGGGAUGGUUACCUUUCUGUGUUUCAAUCCAUGAGAAAUAAAGGAGAAGUGAAAAGCACUAGGCUUGGACAACAAGGCCUGUGUGUUUUUUUGGCAGAUUUUAGAAAAGCAAAAAGUUCUCUUUAAAUCAGAAUAAUAAAAGCAGUUACUGCUAUUGCAUAGAAAAGCAAGAAAAUGAGUACAAGCUACUGAAAAUUUAUCUGAAGGGGAAGUUCCUGGCUAAUAAGAAAAGAUCAUUACAUGUUUGGACAGAAAAGCCAGGUCCAAGUGAAUAUGCCACCUCAAAUUCCAUUUCCUUACAGCAGGUACAAGAAAAAACAGUUUUCUACUCCAGCUGUAGAACAAACCAUUAAUAAGUGGUACCAUCUUAGCAGAACUGCUGUCUGCAAAGCAGCUGAGCCCUGCUCUCAGCAGCCCAAAGACAGACUGCACAGGUGAAUUGUUUACAAUUACUUUACCUAUUCUGGACUAUCCCUGCUCCUAGAUGCUUUAAUUUAACAUCACAGUAGAUGGAAUGCAAGUAGAAAAGUACCUGCAACAUACCAAGGCACUUAGAGGGUAUUUCUCACUAUGAGAAUCAGUGUAUUGUAAGAGUUUUGACUCAGAUUGGACAAUAAAAGGAUAAAAAAGCUCUUCUCUCUCCAUGUAGCUAUGAGUACUGAAAUCUAGGUCAUGUUCCCUAACAAUGAGAUAAGGAGUUUUCUACUCUUUUCAUUCUCACAGCCCCAAAGUGCUACCUGAGCCUCACCUUUCUGCAGAAUUCUUUGUCUUUGAAAAUAAUCGAUAUCAAUAAGCAAAAUACAGCAUCAGAAAUCAGAAGCCUGCACCAAGCAGCUGGACUCUACUGACCCAAGAAGUGUCUCCUUCCAAAGCAGAUGCAGUCAGUGUUAGGCCUGGCUUCUCUCUGCAUGCCUGAGCACACCAUAACAGGAAGGCCAUGCACACUGCUGCGUAGGACAACAUGUAAUCAAAAGCACUUCAUCUGCUUUCUUCCAUAGCAACACAGAACUGUCUUUACAUCAUACAAUAUCAGGUUGUCUGUAACAAAUGAGAAUCCAGUCUGAGUGAACUGAUGUCCUAUGUUCCACCUGUCCCACUACACCCAUGCCCAGCAACAGAUCCCAUUUUGUUCCUUGCUUAGGCAGAAAGUAAUCCCACAUCAUCUCACAGCCUCUGAACACCCCACACCACUUCUAGUGCCAUUUGACCUCAGUCAUCUACUGUCACUCACUUUGGCCUUUUAAUUACACUAUUUUUCACUAUAUAUAUAUAUUCAUAGAAUUCUGUAAAACCCAUCCAACUUAUUCUUUAAAAUUCAGCUAGGCUUCUUGCAAAGGGCAUCACCAAGAAGUCUGCUAUUCAGUAUUGGCUGCAGCAAGAAACUCUUUGAUGACAGUUAUAAAUAUCUCCCUGCUUCCACAACACGUUCAAAGAGUCUCCAAACAAAUCUGUAAGUGAAAUAACAAGUGUGAGCAUGUUAUAAAUACAUAGCUUAUGUUAUUUUGGUCAGGGUCACUGCAUUAUCUGCAGCAACUCCAGCUGUCUCAAGGACAGUGUCACAUGCUCUGUCUUUCUGCUAUGCCAUCUGAAGAAGCCCAUGUAGUACAGUGGCAUUGGAGUUGUGAUGCAGAUGUAAUGCACUGCUUGCUUUUAACAUGGGAAUGCUUUGAAGUCCCACUCAAGGGACUGGAGUUAGACUUUAUACAGGCACUGAAAGCUGUAGAAAUGAGAUAAAAACAUGGGAACAGAUCACCUAACUAACAGGGGAAGGGUGAAAUUGCUGGAACUCCAGAACAAGAAAACAUAUACAGUUCUUUAUAGACUGUAGUGAUGCAGGGGGUUCCAGAUGAAGUUCAUUUCAAUGAAAUUCCCUCAUAGGUUUUCAAAGAAUGUGACUGUGACGUGCCUUGCCAUUGGAGGCUUGUAACUCUUCAUCCUUGACAAUCAGCUCUAGCAGUUACUUCAGCUAGAGCCUAACUGCAUUGGUACAGGACUGUGCACACCUCUGUUUGUCCUGCAGUCACAGGCUGAAAUACUUCCCCUGGAAAGAUGAAACUCUUAGAAAAUGAAUGCAGUUUGAAAGCAGUCUGUGCAAAACCACAUGCAAACGAUUAAUAAUUAAUUCCCUUGUAAAUUAAUGAAAACAGACCUAUGAUAGCUCUGCAGUGCUCCAAAUUUAAACUUUUCAUGAAAAAAACAGAAACAAAAACCAGGUACCAAUCUCCAUGAACACUGGCAUUUGUAGCUGUGAUUCAACCGCGUUCAUCAUAGGAACUGCUGGACCAGUAAGCUUCCAAUGCUGCACUGACUCAAGCACUGAUUGCAUUCCAAUUACCUGCCCUUGCAUCCAGCAUGAGGUUUUCCUACAUAUUUUGACUGCUGAUGCAAUUUUGAGUGGUGCUUUUGUUUCGUAUUCCUUUGCUUAGAGACAACAGCAACACACAUCACUCACUCAGGUCAGCCUGACAUUUCAAGCACUCUGUGUGCAUCUGCGUCCUUAUAACUCUUCUGAUUUCUUAAUACCUGUGCAAACUAAAUGUUUCAUGGGAUAGCUUCUGAAAGUCAUUGCUAUUUCAAUAUUAUGGUCUAUUAGCUCUCUGCAGCUAAGAAAUCUUGCUCUGUUUUGGAUGCUGAGUUUAAAAAAUGGGAGAAGGAGGUCUCAAUUCUAUUGGGUGUUGUGGACUUCAUAUAAAACAAAUAUUAAGAUAGUUUCCUAGCAGUUGGCAAUGCACAAUAGUAGGAGAAAAUGAAAAUGCCCAUUCAUACAUACACUGAUAGAUGUAAGGAAUACAUACAUGAAAGAAGCAGUAAAUGUAAAUGUGCUUAAUGCAUGUGCUCAUAACAGUAGACAAAAGAGCACUGUCAUGUGCUAUUUAAAUAUUCAGGAGAGGCAAAAUUGGUAUUUGGAUGGUGAGGCACUGGAACAGGUUGCCCAAGGAGGCUGUGGAUGCCCCAUUCCUGCAGGCAUUCAAGGCCAG